AGGACGAACGCUGGCGGCGUGCUUAACACAUGCAAGUCGAGCGGAAAGGCCCUUCGGGGUACUCGAGCGGCGAACGGGUGAGUAACACGUGAGUAAUCUGCCCCUAGCUCUGGGAUAGCUCCGGGAAACCGGGAUUAAUACCAGAUACGACCACUUUAGACAUCUUCUGUGGUGGAAAGAACUUCGGCUAGGGAUGAACUCGCGGCCUAUCAGCUUGUUGGUGAGGUAACGGCUCACCAAGGCGACGACGGGUAGCCGGCCUGAGAGGGCGACCGGCCACACUGGGACUGAGACACGGCCCAGACUCCUACGGGAGGCAGCAGUGGGGAAUAUUGCGCAAUGGGCGAAAGCCUGACGCAGCGACGCCGCGUGGGGGAUGAAGGCCUUCGGGUUGUAACCCUUUCAGCAGGGACGAAGCGAAAGUGACGGUACCUGCAGAAGAGCGCCGGCUAACUACGCGCCAGCAGCCGC
This 471-nucleotide ribosomal RNA is filed under the name uncultured bacterium. RNAcentral describes it as "SSU rRNA". It matches the Rfam family "Bacterial small subunit ribosomal RNA", at positions 26 to 518 of the family's 1533-position model. The record is from RNAcentral.